This 141-nucleotide non-coding RNA is filed under the name Enterobacter cloacae. RNAcentral's name for it is "MoCo sequence". It matches the Rfam family "Molybdenum/Tungsten riboswitch aptamer (Moco RNA motif)". Lineage: Bacteria; Pseudomonadati; Pseudomonadota; Gammaproteobacteria; Enterobacterales; Enterobacteriaceae. The record is from RNAcentral. RNAcentral also lists the same sequence under 1 other name.
CUGAUGAAGCUACACUCUAGCCUUUGCACCUGGGUCUGCGGAUACGGUGUUCUGGCCGUGGCGACGGCGACGUCGCCACCAGGGUACAGGAAGAAAUGACUGUGCCUCCCGUAUCUGGAAAGGUGUAUAUGGCCUCACAAC